Molecule: non-coding RNA, 78 nt
Filed under: Leptolyngbya sp.
Lineage: Bacteria; Bacillati; Cyanobacteriota; Cyanophyceae; Leptolyngbyales; Leptolyngbyaceae
Description: Glutamine-I sequence
Rfam family: Glutamine riboswitch aptamer (glnA leader)
Source: RNAcentral
GUCGUUCAUCUCUCUGCUUCUAAACCACUAGGUUUUUAUGAGAGACGGAAGUAAGGAUUUAUCCCCAAGGAACGCACC